GACGAACGCUGGCGGCGUGCCUAACACAUGCAAGUCGAGCGGAGAUAUAUGGAAGGUUUACCGGAAAUAUAUCUUAGCGGCGGACGGGUGAGUAACGCGUGGGCAACCUGCCUCAUACAGGGGGAUAACACAGGGAAACUUGUGCUAAUACCGCAUGAAAUCAUAGUAUGGCAUCAUACAAUGAUCAAAGGAGCAAUCCGGUAUGAGAUGGGCCCGCGUCCGAUUAGCUAGUUGGUGAGGUAACGGCUCACCAAGGCGACGAUCGGUAGCCGAACUGAGAGGUUGAUCGGCCACAUUGGGACUGAGACACGGCCCAGACUCCUACGGGAGGCAGCAGUGGGGAAUAUUGCGCAAUGGGGGAAACCCUGACGCAGCAACGCCGCGUGAAGGAGAAGGCCUUCGGUUGUAACUUCUUUGAUAGGGACGGAUAAUGACGGUACCCUAAAACGAAGACCACGGCUAACUACGUGCCAGCAGCCGCGGUAAUCUAUACUCGUA
RNAcentral lists this ribosomal RNA (498 nucleotides) under uncultured bacterium. RNAcentral describes it as "bacterial SSU rRNA". It matches the Rfam family "Bacterial small subunit ribosomal RNA", at positions 28 to 535 of the family's 1533-position model. The record is from RNAcentral.